This 433-nucleotide ribosomal RNA is filed under the name uncultured bacterium. RNAcentral describes it as "bacterial SSU rRNA". It matches the Rfam family "Bacterial small subunit ribosomal RNA", at positions 32 to 456 of the family's 1533-position model. The record is from RNAcentral.
AAUCAACGCUGGCGGCGUGCCUCAGACAUGCAAGUCGAACGAUUAAAGCUCUCUUCGGAGAGUGCAUAGAGUGGCGCACGGGUGAGUAACACGUAAGUAAUCUACCUUCGAGUGGGGAAUAACAUCGGGAAACCGAUGCUAAUACCGCAUAAUGCAGCGGCAUCGCAAGAUGACAGUUGUUAAAGAAUUUAUUCGCUUGAAGAGGAGCUUGCGGCAGAUUAGCUAGUUGGUAAGGUAAUGGCUUACCAAGGCUACGAUCUGUAACCGGUCUAAGAGGACGGUCGGUCACACUGACACUGAAUAACGGGUCAGACUCCUACGGAGGCAGCAGUCGGGAAUUUUGGGCAAUGGGCGAAAGCCUGACCCAGCAACGCCGCGUGAAGGAUGAAGUAUUUCGGUAUGUAAACUUCGAAAGAAUAGGAAGAAUAAAUGA